AACCUUUAAGAUCUUAAAAUGUUAAUCCUUUUCAGGAAUAAUCGCUGAGCUCACAUCUAUAUAAAAAAAAAAAUGUUGAGCAUUCCUUACACUGUUUUUCUCCUCAGAGUGAUGUUUCUAGGACGUUGAGUAUGUUUGACUCAGAUGUUGUAUCAUUCCACAGCCACCUGGACGGCUAGCAUAAGUCCUACAAUAGUAAGAGGCGUCUGUUCCUGAAUGCCACAUCUGGGAGACAACUUUAUUUUGACAAGGAGACUAAUGCAGAGGAAACCUAUUUUACAAGCUGGUCUCUCAAGACACUGGGAACACAUCAUCAGCUUCACUGCUGAGGGGUUAAUCCAAGGUUGAGCCUGUGACCAUAGCUGAACUAAACGAGUUUAUCCUCACUCCCAGCCUUAGGUUGUACAAUAAUCUUUAGUAUGAUUGUAUUUUGCAUGUGAUUAUGUUAAUGUAAAAUGUAGAGGUUGAAUUUGUCUGCCCCAUGAAGGUCACUGGAUUUAAUAUGGAUAAAGGCUGGUGCUAUGUCUCUUGCUCCAGAUGUACAAAGAAGCUUCAGCGGACGGUCUCAUCUUUUACUUGACAACCUGCAGUAACACCAAUGCAGUUGGUUUCCUUCGAUAUGUUGGACCCUAAAAUGAGGUCCCAUACAUCAGCAACUAACAUACAUUUUAAACAUUUUAUUUUAUGUAUCGUGUGGAAACAACUAUUGAUGAUGAGAUUGCUGAAAGUCUAUUUGUUGAUUUCA
Brassica oleracea var. oleracea is the source of this 745-nucleotide long non-coding RNA. RefSeq lists it as uncharacterized. The record is from RefSeq and is a predicted model, not a curated record. The transcript has 3 exons. Lineage: Eukaryota; Viridiplantae; Streptophyta; Magnoliopsida; Brassicales; Brassicaceae.